This 343-nucleotide unclassified non-coding RNA is filed under the name soil metagenome. RNAcentral describes it as "partial contains 5.8S ribosomal RNA, internal transcribed spacer 2, and large subunit ribosomal RNA". The stretch from base 1 to 120 matches the Rfam family "5.8S ribosomal RNA", at positions 35 to 154 of the family's 154-position model. The record is from RNAcentral.
GAUGAAGAACGUAGCGAAAUGCGAUAAGUAAUGUGAAUUGCAGAAUCCAGUGAAUCAUCGAAUCUUUGAACGCACAUUGCGCCCGCCAGCAUUCUGGCGGGCAUGCCUGUUCGAGCGUCAUUUCAACCCUCGACCUCCCCUUGGGGAGGUCGGCGUUGGGGACCGGCAGCACACCGCCGGCCCUGAAAUGAAGUGGCGGCCCGUCUGCGGCGACCUCUGCGUAGUAAUACAGCUCGCACCGGAACCCCGACGCGGCCACGCCGUAAAACACCCAACUUCUGAACGUUGACCUCGAAUCAGGUAGAACUACCCGCUGAACUUAAGCAUAUCAAUAAGCGGAGGA